This 478-nucleotide ribosomal RNA is filed under the name uncultured bacterium. RNAcentral describes it as "partial 16S ribosomal RNA". It matches the Rfam family "Bacterial small subunit ribosomal RNA", at positions 28 to 507 of the family's 1533-position model. The record is from RNAcentral.
GAUGAACGCUGGCGGCGUGCUUAACACAUGCAAGUCGAACGAGAAGUGAAGACGGAAACCUUCGGGCGGAAGGCUUUAUUUCGAGUGGCGGACGGGUGAGUAACGCGUGGGUAACCUGCCUCAUACAGGGGGAUAACAGUUGGAAACGACUGUUAAUACCGCAUAAGACCACAGCACCGCAUGGUGCGGGGGUAAAAACUCCGGUGGUAUGAGAUGGACCCGCGUUCGAUUAGCCAGUUGGCGGGGUAACGGCCCACCAAAGCGACGAUCGAUAGCCGAUCUGAGAGGAUGACCGGCCACAGUGGGACUGAGAUACGGCCCAAACUCCUACGGGAGGCAGCAGUGGGGAAUAUUGCACAAUGGGGGAAACCCUGAUGCAGCGACGCCGCGUGAGUGAAGAAGUAUUUCGGUAUGUAAAGCUCUAUCAGCAGGGAAGAAAAUGACGGUACCUGAGUAAGAAGCCCCGGCUAACUACGUG